AUACCUUUCUCGGCCUUUUGGCUAAGAUCAAGUGUAGUAUCUGUUCUUAUCCGUUUAAUAUCUGAUACGUGGGCCAUUGGCUCACAUGAUAUUAAAUUAAUUUUUCUUUGGGGGAGGUUCCACCUACAGUAGCUUGCUAUUGGGGACCUCAAGUGUCGCCCAUGCGUUGCACUACUGCACGGGCCUGACGCACCCCUA
RNAcentral lists this small nuclear RNA (198 nucleotides) under Macleaya cordata. RNAcentral's name for it is "U2 spliceosomal RNA". It matches the Rfam family "U2 spliceosomal RNA". Rfam says of the family: U2 is a small nuclear RNA (snRNA) component of the spliceosome (involved in pre-mRNA splicing). The record is from Rfam by way of RNAcentral. Lineage: Eukaryota; Viridiplantae; Streptophyta; Magnoliopsida; Ranunculales; Papaveraceae.